Molecule: long non-coding RNA, 1170 nt
Organism: Helianthus annuus (common sunflower)
Lineage: Eukaryota; Viridiplantae; Streptophyta; Magnoliopsida; Asterales; Asteraceae
Exons: 5
Source: RefSeq, a predicted model, not a curated record
UCAAUUCAUUUACGUGACCAUCCCUUUUGUUGGCUCUUAUCCCCUUCUUUUCUUUCAUCCCCAACCAUCUUCUUUGCUUCCACCACGCUACUAAAUCUCUUUCGCCAAAAAACCCUAAUCCCCAAUUCCCAUGUUCACCCAAAAUUCAACAUAAUAAACCACUUAUUCGAUACGCUAGAACAAUGUCUAAACGAUAGGUAAGUCCAGCACUCCAUCAGAGAAAAGGAAGCUUAAAUCAAUUCAACAUAAUAAACCGUUUAUUCGAGAUCCAUUUCGAGGUGUUGGAAUGGUGGUAAUCCGGUUGUUAUUGUUUCUUGUGGUGGUGAUAUUCCAACUAAGGUUGUAUUGAAUGGUGAUUUGAGGAGGAGGCGGUCUAUUUCGGUUGCUUGGCAUCAGAUUAGUGACUCCGAGACAUGCUAUGUGCCUAUGGUAAAAAGAGUGAGAAUGAACGGGUUGACAGCAGAAAACUGGGGAAGAUUUGAAGAGCUUGGCAUCGGUUAACAUGGGGUGAUAUGAUCUUGCAAUUGAAUCAAGUCUAACUUUAGUACCCAGUGAAGAGUUUUUGGAUCGGAGUUCAAGUGCGAUGAGCGUUCAGCAGAAUUGAGUGCAAAUCCAUCUUUAUUUUUUCUAAUUUUAAGUGAAAUUUGCAGAUAGUUGAGGUUGUUUUUUGCAAGGUGGCUCUUCUCCAAAAAGAAAUGUAUACUCACUUUAUUCCGGGCAUUAUUCUUCCGAUAUGUUCUUCAUAUCUGUAGUUGAUAUGGACGGAUUUUAUGAUGGAAAUCAACUUGCAAUCGUCUAAGUAUGUUGAAGAUCUUUAUGCUUACUUUAGAAGGAUGGAGAAUUGAAUGACUAUAGCGAGCCAUACGAAUUGACUGACUCAUUCAGAUCAAUGUUCAUAUUGGUUCGCGAGUGCUGCUAUUAUGAAGUUGAAAUUUGGAUGCAUUUUGAUGACGAGAGAUGCUUCUGCUUUGAAUGUUGGUUUUUAAGUGAAACAAGCAAUCGUUGAAGAUGAACAAACAAAAGCAUUGGCUCAUAUAACUGCCCUGAAGAAGCUCUGUAAUUGUUAUUGGAAUGGCUGGAGUACUUGAUUAUUUAUUUAGAGUAAACUGCCAUUUUGGUCCUUGUGGUUUGGCCAGUUUUGCCACUUUAGUCCAAAUCUCAAACUUAUUA